AGAGAUAUUUACAGAGCCUGAUUCACGCCAAACACUCUGGAAAAGUGUUCCCUGUUGCCUAAUUUGAAGGUCAUGGCUAAAUGAUAGAGGCAGUCCAAAAAGCGGAGUGAAUGCUCAGCUGUGAUGACGUACUUCAAGCCAUCAUGGGAGAUGGAGCUAUCAUUCACGUGUCUCAUCAGACAAGUUGCAAGAUGCUCCCAAGUGACACCUCAUUACCUGUAUGCACGUAGCUUCAAGAGAGAACAUCAGACUGAAGGCCGGAUACUAUGAAGUACUAUGCAUGCCGUCCUGAAAGCUGCUGCGCUUCUGGGGAGCUACCCAAAAGGAACCAGAGUUAGAAUACAGCAGGAACCAAGUACGCUCGAGCAGGUCACCUCCACACCAUCUGGAAAGCCAUCAUGAAGGUGCUGUGCUGCUAUUUUUAUUACCAAGAAUCAUGUGGACUCUAAUGAAGAAUACUAAAGUUUCACUGAGUGUAAUAUCUCUAUGUACAACAGAAUGGAAAGAGCCAUCCCGGGCUUCCUGGAUGCCGGUGUCAGCUCGUUCGCGAUAAGGAAGGCUGAGGAAGAUGCCGUUAUGGUUUAACGUAUCUCAAGGGCCAGAAUUGGUUUAGAAAGGGCAGAGUGGAAACACAUAAAGAGAAGAUCAUGGGCGAGCGGGAAGCUAUCACCUAGCUUUGAUGCUGUGCUUUGUGGAUGAUUCAACUCUGGGUGAUAGGGUUGAACAGCUCUGCACCUCCCAGGCCAGAACACUGGCAAUGCCAAUCCCUUAGCAAUGUCCUCAGCGUUGGAAAAUCCAAGCAGUGGAGAAAGUGCUCCUCAACCGCGGGCCUGCAGCACCAUUGUGAGGUGCAGGUUGUGCAAAUGGGCAGGCAACCAGUGACACUGAAUCAGAGUUAGUUACAGAGAGCAAACAAGUGUGCAUCCUGCAUUAUACAAGAAUGCAUCAUUCUCUAUUUACGCAUGUAGUUCUGUUCUCAGACAUAUUACGAGCCAUGCAUAUGGUAUAAAGUUUCCAUUCAUCCAUCUGUUCACAGAAGAUAUUGAACCAGAUAACGUGAUAAACUCAAGAUACAAACAUGGAAAAGAAUACGGUCCCUGUCUUCUAGGAAUUUACAGGCGAAGGAGAAGAGACAGCAAGAAACUGGUUCUGACUAUACUGAAAACCAUCUUGAAGGAGGUUUGAAGCAUGGCCUUUUGCUCUGUCUAGUUCUGAGUCAGCUGAGAGUCACAGGGGAGAAACACACAGCAACAGGUGGGUGCUAUUUGUGAUAAAAACUGUUUUGAAGGGCCCAGCCAUCUUGGCUCAGUGGUUGAGUGUCAGCCUAUGAACCAGGAGGUCACAGUUCAAUUCCCAGUCAGGACACAUGCCGUGUUGUGGGCUAGAUACCCAGUGUGGGGUGUGCAGGAGGCAGCUGGUCAAUGAUUUUCUCUCAUCAUU
Long non-coding RNA from Myotis lucifugus (little brown bat), 1440 nucleotides. RefSeq lists it as uncharacterized. The record is from RefSeq and is a predicted model, not a curated record. The transcript is spliced from 6 exons. NCBI's taxonomy places the organism in Eukaryota, Metazoa, Chordata, Mammalia, Chiroptera, Vespertilionidae.